RNAcentral lists this ribosomal RNA (115 nucleotides) under Candidatus Aenigmatarchaeota archaeon. The record is from RNAcentral. Lineage: Archaea; Nanobdellati; Candidatus Aenigmatarchaeota.
GAUGGCGGCCAUAGCGGGGAAGUGUACCUGUUCCCAUUCCGAACACAGAAGUCAAGCUCCCCGGCGGUCUGGGGUGUACUGGGCAUCGCCCGGGAAUCCCAGAUAGCUGCCCUAU